Molecule: small RNA, 819 nt
Filed under: Pan troglodytes (chimpanzee)
Lineage: Eukaryota; Metazoa; Chordata; Mammalia; Primates; Hominidae
Description: retained intron
Source: RNAcentral
GGCAAGAUGGCGGCGGCUGGGGCUGGCCGUCUGAGGCGGGCGGCAUCGGCUCUGCUGCUGCGGAGCCCCCGCCUGCCCGCCCGGGAGCUGUCGGCCCCGGCCCGACUCUAUCACAAGAAGGUAUCUCAAAUCUGUGAAGUAUUGUAGAGGAGACACAAAAGGAAUUGGGGGUCACAAAUGGUUCUCAUUGACAUGAGUGUAGACCUUUCUACUCAGGUGAAAUUUGGUAUUUAGUGAUUGCCUGCCAGGUUCAAGAUGCUGACCGAGGAGCUUACCAUCAAACCAGAGACCAGUACCAAUAGAGAGUGAACAUGAUUUAUCUUAACCCUCUCAUUUUAGGUUGUUGAUCAUUAUGAAAAUCCUAGAAACGUGGGGUCCCUUGACAAGACAUCUAAAAAUGUUGGAACUGGACUGGUGGGGGCUCCAGCAUGUGGUGACGUAAUGAAAUUACAGAUUCAAGUGGAUGAAAAGGGGAAGAUUGUGGAUGCUAGGUUUAAAACAUUUGGCUGUGGUUCCGCAAUUGCCUCCAGCUCAUUAGCCACUGAAUGGGUGAAAGGAAAGACGGUGGAGGAAGCCUUGACUAUCAAAAACACAGAUAUCGCCAAGGAGCUCUGCCUUCCUCCCGUGAAACUGCACUGCUCCAGUAAGUCUCUGCUCUCCAUACCAGUCAGCUGGGACAUUUGGCAGUAAUUUCAACUUGGUUUGCAACAGUCCUUUUAGAUCAUGGAGCCCACGUUUGUAACCCUCAGAAUUAGAGCUCAUGAGUCUGUCCUUAUAACCUGCAGAGGGUUAGAGCCCCCAUGGUCUCACAUUCAUCCC